Molecule: ribosomal RNA, 253 nt
Filed under: uncultured bacterium
Lineage: Bacteria
Description: partial 16S ribosomal RNA
Rfam family: Bacterial small subunit ribosomal RNA
Source: RNAcentral
UACAGAGGGUGCAAGCGUUAUCCGGAUUCACUGGGUUUAAAGGGUGCGUAGGUGGGCAGGUAAGUCAGUGGUGAAAUCCCCGAGCUUAACUUGGGAACUGCCGUUGAUACUAUCUGUCUUGAAUGUCGUGGAGGUAAGCGGAAUAUGUCAUGUAGCGGUGAAAUGCUUAGAUAUGACAUAGAACACCAAUUGCGAAGGCAGCUUGCUACACGAUGAUUGACACUGAUGCACGAAAGCGUGGGGAUCAAACAGG